AGUAAGUGGAACCUUGAGUAACACAUUAAAGUACUGAGUUGAAGAUUGUGACCCAAACAGUGGGGAUACAGAUGAUGAAGAAGGCUAUGAAUAUGCAGCCAGGAUGUUGUCUCUAUGAAGGUGAAUAGUAUUGUGUGAUUCAUCAUAGCUCUGAUUGAUGCUAUGAAAAAAACAGAAAGAGGAACAAGAAAUGGAAUUAGAGAUACAAGAAAAGGAACUGAAUGAAAAGCAUGUGGAAUUGAAUGAGUUAAAGAAAGAAGAGUCUCAGAUGGAAGGCAAACUCAAUUCAAACAAAACUCAACUUGAUGUAUUAACUUCCUUUUUACAAAGUAGCACC
Non-coding RNA from Parasteatoda tepidariorum (common house spider), 337 nucleotides. Lineage: Eukaryota; Metazoa; Arthropoda; Arachnida; Araneae; Theridiidae. The record is from RefSeq and is a predicted model, not a curated record.